This 475-nucleotide ribosomal RNA is filed under the name uncultured bacterium. RNAcentral describes it as "partial 16S ribosomal RNA". It matches the Rfam family "Bacterial small subunit ribosomal RNA", at positions 29 to 523 of the family's 1533-position model. The record is from RNAcentral.
AGCGAACAUUGGCGGUAGGCUUAACACAUGCAAGUCGAGCGAGGCGUAAUAGUCGAGCGGCGAACGGGUGAGUAAUACAUGGGAAUCUACCUCGAAGUGGGGGAUAACGUUCAGAAAUGGACGCUAAUACCGCAUAAUCCGGGAACGGGAAAGCGCGCUGCGCUUUGAGAUGAGCCCAUGGCUGAUUAGCUAGUUGGUGGGGUAAAGGCCUACCAAGGCGACGGUCCGUAGCUGGUUUGAGAGGAUGAUCAGCCACACUGGGACUGAGACACGGCACAGACUACUACGGGAGGCAGCAGUGGGGAAUAUUGGACAAUGGGCGCAAGCCUGAUCCAGCCAUGCCGCGUGUGUGAAGAAGGCCCUAGGGUUGUAAAGCACUUUAAGUAGGGAGGAAGGUCUGGUAAUUAAUACUUAUCAGGAUUGACGUUACCUACAGAAUAAGCACCGGCUAACUCCGUGCCAGCCGCCGCGGUAA